GGAUUCUGGGAAAUGUAGUAAAGAAGAGAGUCACCAUGUGAUCCCAGGGAAGAGAGGAUGCAUGCUGCUGGUGUCCUUGAUAAGGUCUGAGAGGAAACAGAAGAGUGAGUGGUGAAGGAAAUGACAUCAUGGCUAUUGGAGGAUAGUCUACAAGCACUAGCAGUCCCUCCCAACAAUCUCUAAACACUUGUCCUUGUGCCCAGAAAUAAGUGUAGUCUUCACUGCUCACCAGCGAAACUUCUCUUGGUAACAGAUAGAGACCAUUACAGAAAACCACAACCAAUAAAAUGCAGAGUUUUGGAGCCCAGUCCCUGCGGAUACAUCUACAAAACACUUUACACCUAAGGUUUAGGGCACAUUGCAGAAGAGGAGGCAGAAAUAUUGUAAGAGUCAGAGGAUCAGGGAGUUUGCUGUGAGACUGUGUCUCCUAGUAACAUCAGAAGCUACACCCAUAGUCUCACCAACAUGACUGACCAAAUGUGGACUGAACGACGACAAUAGACAUGCCUAAGCGGAUGGAGAAAAUCCCAAGAGGCCUCAACCCUACCAAAAGAACCAGAGGCAACUGAAGAAAGCUGUAAGUGGGCAAGACGAUCUGCCUCAGAGAAGAGGAUAUAACUGGUUGUCUAGUGCCAAAUGGUCAGCCCUGAACACACACAUGCAAGAAACCUUCGCAGACUGAACAGGUGCCCUAACAACACUGAAACAAACCCAACAAUUAUUUGCAGUGGCCAAGGAAAUAAACAUACAACCUUGAGGCUUUGAACUUCAACUUCCACACCAAUACAAGCUACAAAUCAUGAGUGAGGACCAAAUGAUGUUGUCAGUUACGUGGGAACCAGGGGUCAUUCUUCCGUGAAUUCAGAGUCAGCACUGAAGGAAGAUGGCUUGACAACCAAGACCAACGGAAAGCCACAUGGCAGUGAGACAGCCUCUCUGGAAAGCCAGCAUCUGCCGUGGAGCAGUUGGUUCCACAUAAACAGGAAAUUUGAAGCCCCAAAUAUUUUGAUUCAGCCUUGUUUAAAAUUAUUGGUGAGACUGUAUGUUAAGAGGCUAAACAGUAUGAAGCUAGAUGCAUGUGGGCAGAAAAUAAUUGUUGAUACAACCUUUUGUUUGAAAAACGGAGAAGUUGAAAAUUUUACCUAGAGAAAUGAAAGAUUGAGCCAGGAAGGUGGAGUCUACUUAACUUAGACUUAGUUUGUCACCAGGAAAAUUGAGUUUUAUCUAGUCACUUUACCAAAAACGUUCCCAGUGAAUAGCAAAUAAUCAUCUCCAAGGAACUCUGAUCUGUGACCUGUGACCUAUGAUCUAGGCCUAUUUAGGUUUAUGUUAGAAACUGGA
RNAcentral lists this long non-coding RNA (1341 nucleotides) under Cricetulus griseus (Chinese hamster). Its description in RNAcentral is "lncRNA (ENSCGRG00015038206.1)". The record is from RNAcentral. Lineage: Eukaryota; Metazoa; Chordata; Mammalia; Rodentia; Cricetidae.